CAGUGACAGAAGAAGCAUGGAGCGAAUCGUUGGCGGAAACUACAAGCUCGGCCGCAAGAUCGGAAGUGGAUCCUUCGGUGAAAUCUACCUCGCUACGCAUAUUGAUACUUAUGAAAUUGUCGCUAUCAAGAUCGAGAAUAGUAAAACAAAGCAUCCACAACUACUUUACGAGGCAAAGGUCUACAAUGUUCUUCAAGGAGGAAGUGGCAUUCCAAGCAUAAAAUGGUUUGGUGUAGAUCGGGAGGAUAAUGUACUGGCUAUGGAUUUACUUGGCCCUAGUCUUGAAGAUCUUUUUGUGUAUUGUGGAAGGAAGUUUUCAUUGAAGACUGUGUUACUGUUAGCUGAUCAAAUGAUUACUAGAAUAGAAUAUGUGCACUCUAAAGGAUAUUUACAUAGGGAUAUUAAACCCGAUAACUUCCUCAUGGGACUUGGUCGGAAAGCCAAUCAGGUUUACAUGAUCGAUUUUGGGCUUGCAAAACGGUAUCGGGACUCCACAAGCAAUCGCCACAUCCCUUACAGGGAGAACAAAAAUUUAACAGGGACUGCUCGAUAUGCAAGUUGCAAUACUCAUCUUGGGAUUGAGCAAAGUAGACGGGAUGAUUUGGAAUCUCUAGGAUACGUACUUCUCUACUUCCUUAGGGGAAGCCUUCCCUGGCAAGGUCUAAGGGCUGCAACAAAGAAACAGAAGUAUGAUAAGAUAUGCCAGAAGAAAGUAUCAACUCCCAUCGAGGUACUAUGCAAAUCUCAUCCUGUAGAGUUUGCUUCAUAUUUCCAUUACUGCCACUCUUUGACGUUUGAUCAACGGCCUGAUUAUGGAUUCUUGAAGCGUUUAUUUAGAGACCUAUUUGCUCGGGAAGGCUAUGAGUUUGAUUUCGUUUUUGAUUGGAGCAUUUUAAAGUAUCAGCAAUCACAGAAGCAUAGAGUGCCACCUUCCUUAUCUCCAGUUCCUGGGGCAAGUAACAAUCGUGCCGUCCCAAUGGAAUUUGACAAACAUCAAGGGCACGGUGAAGAGCGAAUUAAAUCAGGAAAUGCUACUGGUCCUGGUGUUAAAGUACAGUUUAAAUCACCAACUGGUAGAAACUUGAGUUCUGAUAACCCUCUUGACAAGAAUAUUUUUGGAGAAGCAAAUAUGCCCUCUACUUCGCAUUCUCCUGCUGGAGCUUCAAAAAGGAACCCCUUGAAGCCUGCCUUGUCUGCCGAACCUUCCAACCCUGGACAUGGGCAAGGAAGUAAAAUUGGCCCUUCAAGUAGCUGGAUAUCAUCUUUGCAGCGCAUAUCUUCUUCCAAAUGAAUGUCGGAUGUGUAUUUCUAUCUCCGGGCUUGAAUCUCUUGAAGAUUCCUAGAAGAAUACAUGUGUGAAGCUGCAAAUGCGUCAUGGUUUGCUUGCAUCUUUUCUCAAGUGUUUGGUCAAAGAAUAUUCAAGUGAAGUAUCCAUGGACACGGACGCUGUGAAUGUGCUGGAUGGUUGACAAAUUGCAUAGCUCCUAUUUGAGGUUAUCAAAAAUAGAAGUUAUAUUGAUAUCACAGGCAAAUGUUAUGGCUGAAAGGUCACUGAAAUAAUGGUUUCUUAUGAGUUUUCGAAGGUAGCACAAUUUGACCCUUGCUGAGGUUAAUUUGUGAUCUCAUUCUAGGGAUGAAAGUGUUGAAUCUAGUUGUGUUUCAAGUGUGAUUCAAGUCCAUACUUUUAUCUUUGCAGGACCUCCUUUUCUGCUGAAUAUAUUGUGUGAUGGAUGAAAAAUGGAAGUAAUAUGCCACUAUCUACAGGAACAUACUCAUGAUGCUGCUGCUACUUUUGAUGAACAAAUCAGUUUAAGCACUCUGGAUGAAAAUGCACCCAGGAAUAAUUAAUAUUGGAGAUUAUGAGUCAAUGUGAUUUCUUUGGUUUGUGCAACUUUUCAUUGUUUUCAACUAGAGAAAGGGGAGUUACAUAGUUAUGUUGCUUCAAUUCAAGAAUUUUGGAUACUCUUUCUGCGCCAAAUUAAUCAUUUGGUUUGAAUUGCAGUAACAAUUGACAAGAAAUGAGUUGAUUUAUCUUUGCUUGUUGCAAGAGCAUGCAAGGUAACACCGAUCAGAAAAAUUGAAGGCUCUUUGUGCUGAUAUAGGUUUGUUCAUCUGACAUCUUUGACAGUGGCACCAAAACAAUGAAUUCACAUUUUGUCAAUUUCAAAUUGAAGGUUUCACAAUUUUGAUUCCCUGUAUGUGACAUGCUAUUUCAUGAUUCUUGAGCAUUUUGAAUCUGUUAGAGAAGUUGAAAUUUGCACCUCUGAAGUUUGAUGAGCUUUGGAGCUUGAACAUUAGAUGUUUCACUACGAUAUUGUUAAAAGAAAGUUUUGCGGUUGGGAUUUUUCAAAUUUCCUUAGAAUUACUUGCUUGGUGACAAGCUUGAAACAAGAGUUAUUUAUGAUAUGAAAGUUGGUCGGAAAACUAUUUAGGACAACAUGUAUUUCUCUAUUAAUCAAUCCAUGCUUUACAUAAA
This is an RNA transcript of Vicia villosa (hairy vetch), 2476 nucleotides long. It is a transcript of the gene named casein kinase 1-like protein 3, with no coding region annotated. The record is from RefSeq and is a predicted model, not a curated record. The transcript has 18 exons. Lineage: Eukaryota; Viridiplantae; Streptophyta; Magnoliopsida; Fabales; Fabaceae.